CGAAGGGGGCGAGCGUUAUUCGGAAUCACUGGGCGUAAAGCGUGCGUAGGCUGUUUGGCAAGUUGGAAGUGAAAGCCCAGGGCUCAACCCUGGAAUUGCUUUCAAAACUGCCAAACUAGAAUCUCGGAGAGGAUAGCGGAAUUUCCAGUGUAGUAGUGAAAUACGUAGAUAUUGGAAGGAACACCAGUGGCGUAAGCGGCUAUCUGGACGAGCAUUGACGCUGAGGCACGAAGGCGUGGGGAUCAAACAGGAUUAGAUACCCUGGUAGUCCACGCUGUAAACGAUGCGAGUUUGUCGCUGGGGGGUUCACCCUUCGGUGACGUAGUUAACACGAUAAACUCGCCGCCUGGGAAGUACGGCCGCAAGGUUA
This 370-nucleotide ribosomal RNA is filed under the name uncultured organism. RNAcentral's name for it is "bacterial SSU rRNA". It matches the Rfam family "Bacterial small subunit ribosomal RNA", at positions 526 to 896 of the family's 1533-position model. The record is from RNAcentral.